AGGAGGCAGCAGUGGGGAAUAUUGGACAAUGGGCGCAAGCCUGAUCCAGCCAUGCCGCGUGCAGGAUGACGGUCCUAUGGAUUGUAAACUGCUUUUGUACAGGAAGAAACACUCCGACGUGUCGGAGCUUGACGGUACUGUAAGAAUAAGGAUCGGCUAACUCCGUGCCAGCAGCCGCGGUAAUACGGAGGAUCCAAGCGUUAUCCGGAAUCAUUGGGUUUAAAGGGUCCGUAGGCGGUUUAGUAAGUCAGUGGUGAAAGCCCAUCGCUCAACGGUGGAACGGCCAUUGAUACUGCUAAACUUGAAUUAUUAGGAAGUAACUAGAAUAUGUAGUGUAGCGGUGAAAUGCUUAGAGAUUACAUGGAAUACCAAUUGCGAAGGCAGGUUACUACUAAUUGAUUGACGCUGAUGGACGAAAGCGUGGGUAGCGAACAGGAUUAGAAACCCUUGUAGUCCC
RNAcentral lists this ribosomal RNA (457 nucleotides) under uncultured bacterium. RNAcentral's name for it is "bacterial SSU rRNA". It matches the Rfam family "Bacterial small subunit ribosomal RNA", at positions 343 to 797 of the family's 1533-position model. The record is from RNAcentral.